UGUUGCUAAGGCAGCCCCUUCAGAUGGUACCAGGAAGGCAGAGGGUUAGCAUGGCUGCAAUGAUCAGACCUCAGGAACAUUACAGGUUCCUUCCUCUGUUGCCGUCCUAAGACCUGGGACAUUCCAGGGUUGGAGAAGAGCACCAUUGAACGACAGCAUCUUUGGGUUGCCUUCUGCUGCUGGGAGAAUCAUGAAUCACUCGAAGCCGUCCAUGGCAGAGGGAGACUGGUCCAGACGCUGGGAGCUGGACAGAUGGAGUAUCAAGAGAACAGAAGCCAGGCUCAGCCAUGGGCUGCAGGACUUAGAGGAAACACGAGUCCAGCAAAUGAACUCAAUGGUCAAAGAGCAGAGGCAGAUUCAGAAAGAACUGGUGAGGCUGCAGCAAGGCAAGUCCAGGAAGGUGGCUUGUUUAAUUGCAGAUUUCCCAAGGGCAGCUGGUAAAAAAGCAACUCUGCCCACACUUUCUUCUGCGAUAGGAGAGCACCAGAGCAGCACCGAGGGUGAACGACUGAGAGCAUCAAAAGCUGCUUUGCCCAAGCCUGGUGGGCUCACCUUGGUGGCUGAAUCAACCUUGCAACAUCAGACAGGCAACAGAGAUA
Molecule: RNA transcript, 599 nt
Organism: Alligator mississippiensis (American alligator)
Lineage: Eukaryota; Metazoa; Chordata; Crocodylia; Alligatoridae
Exons: 4
Source: RefSeq, a predicted model, not a curated record